Molecule: long non-coding RNA, 5613 nt
Organism: Hippopotamus amphibius kiboko
Lineage: Eukaryota; Metazoa; Chordata; Mammalia; Artiodactyla; Hippopotamidae
Exons: 4
Source: RefSeq, a predicted model, not a curated record
CAGCGCGGCUUCCGUGGACCGUUCCCCUCAGUGACGAGAGAACAUGGCGGCCCCCCGUCCGGACAUCUCAGAAGUUCUGUCUGCCCACAGGCAAGUCUUCUUGCAGAUUUGUACACUCGCCAUGUCCUGCAGGACCUGUGGUGGAAAAGUCCAGUACUGGUCAGCCUCUGGGCCUGUGAAGAGAAGAGAGUGGACCUGGGACCAGCUGUCCUGAGCACCUAGACAAAGUAGCAGACAGCAGCAAGAUGGGCUGGAUUGUCGUGUUGAACGUGAACGUCGCGAAGGCAGAGGUGGUCCUGCUUGGGGGCCUGUUUUCCUAUUGUGACCCAAUGGAUGUGGAGGGCCAGCGCAUUACCUCUGGAGUUACUCCAGCAUCUCCGUGGAAACCACAGAACUAAAGACAGCCCAGGACUCCAGGCUUUUCCUUGCUCUGAGCGACGUUCUGCGCUGGUCAACUCGGACCCCUUCCGUGGAGGCUGAUGUGGCUGCGCACCCGCACCUGUGAGGACUUUGUAGGGUGUGAACCUGUGCAGGCCAGAGGGUGCCUGUUCCCUGGCAGUGCCAGAAAGGUCUCUACUCUUUCCUUUUCUGUAUAAAUGACUUUUUUCUGUGUGGUGAUUCAUUUAGCAACAUUCAGGUGAAGACAUUUGCUAAUUUGAAAGGGGAGGAGACAAGUGUUCACCAGAAAUGUGCGCUAUUGUAGGAUCUUCUCAAAGAGACUUCUAACAUUUAGUCUCACUAUAUCACUCUGGUUCCUCUACUUUUUUAGUGGUACAAGUUUCAGUCAGAAGCUGGCAUCACAGAACCUGAAGUUCACCCACCCAUGUUUGAAUUCCAUGUUUCUUUUUUGAUUAGAAACUGGAGUGUCUAGCUUUUUCCCAGCAUAUUGAGAUUCAUACAUUUUUGGUUUAUCUGUAUAAAGGGUAAAAUUACAUUAAACCCUUGGAAGAUGGGGGUCAUUGUAAAUUUCUCCUUCCAUGAAAAAGUGAAACCUAUAACAUUUAGGAAAAGCUUUCUCCUAACCUAUGUUCCUUGACCAAGAGACAUGAUAGUGAGCGAGCCUGGCUCAUUUACUUGUCCAAACAGUUGUGAAACUUACCGAUAACUGUGGCGCCUCCUCCCCUUUCCACACACACUUGUGAGGGCUGUCCAUCGCAAUCUAUCUGAGUCUCUUCAUUGGAGGGGCCUGUGGGUAAUUCCCCAGUGACAUGUUUAAUGGGUAAUUCUGCCGAGUAUUGGCAUUUUAGGAAGCAGUCCCUAGGCAGAGCAUUCCAAAAGGAGGUUUUUCUUUUCUUUUUUUAAGUUUAUUUAUUUAUUUUAUUGGCUGUGUUGGGUCUUUUUUGCUGUGUGCGGGCUUUUAGUUGCGGUGAAUGGGGGCUACUCUUCGUUGUGGUGCACAGGCUCCUCAUCGCCGAGGCUUCUCAUUGCAGAGCAUGGGCUCUAGGUGCAUGGGCUUCAGUAGUUGCAGCACAUGGGCUCAAUAGUUGUGGCUCUUGGGCUCUAAAGUGCAGGCUCAGUAGUUGUGGUGCACGGGCUUAGUUGCUCCACGGCAUGUGGGAUCUUCCUGGAGCAGGGAUCGAAGGUGUUGUUCCCUGCACUGGCAGGCGGAUUCUCAACCACUGUGCCACCUGGGAAGCCCCAAAAGGAGGUUUUUCUAAUUGGUGGCAGCCUCAAGAUUUUGGACUCUUGAGCAGUGAGAAGGGGACACUACUCAGUAUGUGAGAUGGGACCUGGCUCUCUGUGCUUCCCCAGGUGUGCAUUCCUAGGCCUGCCUUGUCACUUAGCCUCCUGAGGCAUGUAUCUGAUGCAUGUGUUCUCUCUGAUGGGAAUGGUAAUGUGCUGUAAGUUCUUGGUAUGACGUUUUCCGUAUCGACCUCGUGUUUGCCCCUUGUGUACGUGGGUGACAGGAAGAGAAUGGAUCAUAUUGAGCACUCUAGGGCAAGGCCUUUGAAGCAGAGUGUCUUCCUUUUUAUCCUGGUUCCCUGUAAUAUGCAGGCGGUGGUCUCACGGGGCAGCAGCAGUCAUUUGAGAGGCAUGUUAGCCUCCUGGAAAUGUUGAUGGUGGUGGGGGCCAUGAUGGUGGUUGAGGUAGUGGUGAUGCUAAGAAGAAAAUAGCCACAGCUACCACGGAUCCAAAACUGAAUGGAACCAAGAACUGUCCUCCGUUCUUUUCACUGGUGUAUUACCGCAUGGUCUCAAACCGUGUGAUUUGAGUACAACAUAUAAUGUAAAUAGAUAACUCUCUGUUUGGCAGAGGACCUUCAUGAUGUACAGAAUGGCUCAUUACCUUGCUAUGGUAACAGAGGCGAGUCAAACUGUAUAGGGGGCAUUAGAGCUGGCUUAGCUGGCCCCAUAUCUUGUGAUGUUCAUCACUAAGCUGCAAGAAGCGUUCUUAAGUAACAUUUUCUUGCUUGAGAAAUCAGUGGUUUUCCACCCCUCCAUCUCCGUUGCAUUUCUAGUCCAUAUGGUUACCCAGAAGACGCACAGUGUGCCUUUGCAUUAGUAGAAAUAAGUGGUAAUGAAAAUGGUCUCCCAAUGUGGGAGAACACAUAUUGAAUGCAACGGAUUUCCUGGCUGACUGGCCAGCCAGUUUGAUUGUCUGUUCUUUUGGAGAGAGACUUGCAGAGGUUACAGGGUCAGGUGAGGGGAGGAGCUCUUCUGAUCAGGAAAGAUGGAAUGGCAUAUAGGAUAUGGUCCCUCCUUCAGAGGCCUGCCGUCUGCAGGUAGGGAGAGGACAGGGAAGAGCAGCACAGGAUGUAGCUGCUCAUAGAGAUGGAGGACAAGGGACUGCAGUGUGAACGGUAUGAGAAGCUUCGCGUUUUCAAGGAAGUGUUUCCUUCCCUUCUGCAUUCCUGGUGCUGCUUGGGCUCUGCCUAGCAUGGGCACCGAAGAUAGUAAACCUCGUUGUGUGUGACACAAGAAUGAAUUGUCUUUUGGCCCAGAUGAGGCUUUUUUGAUGGGGUUGUUCCCUAGUUUCCAGCAUUCAUGAGAACGUUCCACUUCACUUUAGGGAAGUGCUUGUAUUCCUGCUUCAUUCUGUGAGCUGCCUUAGCCUGUGAAAAGUGGCUCUGGAAAGGUGCCCUUUCCCCCUCCUCUGCUGUGGCCAGAACAGUAAUUUGAGGGAGUCUCCCGGGAGGCACCUGCUGAUGGUGAAUACUUCUGGUGAAUAAUCACACUACUUGAGUUUGCCACUCUGCUUUUCCUGCUGAGAGUGAGCUGUGUUCCACAGAGAGGCUAGUGAAAGUCAGCUUCUGUUGCUGGUAGGUGUUUCUGAUGUCCCAGCCAGACUCUUCUUCCUUCCACACUCCCCCGGCUCAGAUGCCUCGCCAACUCCUAAAGAAAGUGCGUACUGGCAAUGGCGGCAUCCGGGGCGUGGGAAAUGUUGGGUCCUGGGUGGAUGUUGGCUGUGGCCUAUUGUCAGGUUUCUGUGCCCCUCUGCAGAGCAAGGGCGUGUUGGGAACCCUGGCGAAUCCUGACUGUCUGUGAGGGAACGUGGUUGGGUUUUAUGCCAGCCUGGCCACAUUGACUUCCAGCAAACUUCUUCUGAGCACACUCUGCACGAUGCUUGGAAGAAAGAGGUCACGUGGGUCCUGUCAAUGAUCCCUAUGUGAAGCCGGGGCUGUUUGGAUCCUCCGGGGCAGGUGCACAUGAGCUUGGAUAUCCAGGAACCUGCCAGGUCAGGUGUCCAGGCUGGAGGAUGAAGCCCUCCUCUUCCCCUUGGUGAAGAGGGCCUACAGCCCCAGGCGGUAGCUGUCCCUUCCCCUGUGAAUCUGCUGGAAAGCGUUGCUGCUUGGUGGUCUGGCCUCUCACCAUUUUUGUCUUCCUCUAUUGGGAGGCGGGUGACAUUGCCUCAAGGGCACCUUGUCUCCAAGCCCUUUCAAGGAAGAGGGUGUUUUCCACACGGCAGUGUGUGGGGGGGAUUAUGCAUCGUGUGUGGUGAUGGCCUACUGGAGGGGGAGAGGAUGGGGGUUGAGUUUGGGGAGCAAGGGGGUGCUGUGGUUUCCCCAUUUCAGGCUUUUCUUUCUCUUCAGUAGCGAAAUCUCGUCCCAGCGGGGAUACGAGGAGGCUCUGAGAGUAUAAGGAAACAUUGAGUGGGGAGGACCAGGGGCUUUGGUGUGAGAAUUGUGGUGGACGUGGUGGGUUCAGGGGAUGGCUCCCGUCCCCUUGCCCCAUUCCCUCACACUACCUUAGGGUGGCCAUGGCUGUGUCAUAGGAGAUAGCAAAGCACAGGAUGCAUGUGAAGUGAGCAAUGUCUCACCUUGUGAAGCUGCGACCUUAAAAUUGGGAGCAGGUCCUCAGAUUUCAUUUUCCAGUGUACUGUGGGCCUCUCUGCCCGGAGAAAGUAUUGGUGUCUCUGCCGAUUCCUGUGCACUGCAGGUGCUUAUGUUGAUGUUUUUUUCCCCCGAGGUGUCUUCCUCUUUCCUGUAGUGUUGUGGGCUCUUGGGCACUGCUUAUGGGGUUCAUUUUAUGAUCUAGCAGAGUAUAGCUGAGUUUCUGUUCUCUGCUACCUAAAUUGUUCCCUCUUUAACUAGUUCUCACCCAUGACAAGGAUAUUUGCUGCCAGGUCCUUGAGGGAACAUUCCUGGGUUUUCACAUUGGCAAGAGGCAUUUUUAGUUACUAAAAAAGAUGCUCCUCUUUCCUGUAGCUUUAUGGGCUCUUGGGCACUGCUUAUGGAGUUCAUUUCAUGUUCUUCAGGAGGGUCUAGCUGAGUUUCUGGUCUCAGCUGCCUAAGUUGUUCCCUCUUUAGCUAGUUCUCACCCAUGACAAGGAUGAUUGCUGCCAAGUCCUUGAAGGAACAUUCCUGGGUUUUCACAUUGACAAGAGGCUUACUGAGCUUUUAAAAAGAUUUGCAUACAUUGCAAAGAGGCAGAGAAAGAACUGACACAUUUUCCAGAGUAAAUCCUCUAAGAAAAGGGAGGGAUGGAAGCCUGCUGUCUGUUUUGAACAGCGACAAUUAAAGCAUUCUCUUUUUUUUAAGAUGCUUUUUAUGGGGAGCAUUUUUAAAGUUCUUAUUGAAUUUGCAAUCAUGUUGCUUCUGUUUAAGUUUUGGUUUUUUGGCCAGGAAGCAUGUGGGAUCUUCGCUCCCCAACCAGGGAUGGGACACGUGCCUUCUUCAUUGGAAGACAACGUCUUAACCCCUGGAUCGCCAGGGAAGUCCCAAAUCUUCGUUUCUGAGUUGUCGUACUUUGUAUUUGUCCUCCAAAUGCUACAUGAGAUACCAGGUCCCCCCAGGUGUCUGCCCCCCACAAAUGGUGGUUCCUGAGUCCUGGCCAAAGGCAGGCCUGUGCAGGGAACUUCCUUAAGUGGAACUUGUGCCAAUGGUACCUCAAGGAAAAGGAAUAAGUAGGGGUCAUUGUUCACCCUUCGUCUUCCAUAUGCUUUUACCAAUACCUGUACUCUUAUGGCAAGUUCUCUGUGGUCAAUUGGAGUAAGCAAUGCAACCUCAGGCCUUGUGUACAUAUGAUUUCAUUUGCUAACGUCUUGGCAAGUGGAGAUGUACUGUACUCUCAUGUCUUCCCUUUCCUGAGUGUCUUGGAGGAACAAACCCAGUUGGCAAAGGAAUCUGCAAAAUACUUGUGUCUUUCAAUAAAAUGUGUAUGUUGGAAAAGCUCC